RNAcentral lists this ribosomal RNA (431 nucleotides) under uncultured bacterium. Its description in RNAcentral is "partial 16S ribosomal RNA". It matches the Rfam family "Bacterial small subunit ribosomal RNA", at positions 29 to 507 of the family's 1533-position model. The record is from RNAcentral.
ACGAACGCUGGCGGCAUGCCUAACACAUGCAAGUCGAACGAGACCUUCGGGUCUAGUGGCGCACGGGUGCGUAACGCGUGGGAACCUGCCCUUAGGUUCGGAAUAACUCCCCGAAAGGGGUGCUAAUACCGGAUAAUGUCUUCGGACCAAAGAUUUAUCGCCUUUGGAUGGGCCCGCGUUGGAUUAGCUAGUUGGUAGGGUAAAAGCCUACCAAGGCGACGAUCCAUAGCUGGUCUGAGAGGAUGAUCAGCCACACUGGGACUGAGACACGGCCCAGACUCCUACGGGAGGCAGCAGUGGGGAAUAUUGGACAAUGGCGAAAGCCUGAUCCAGCAAUGCCGCGUGAGUGAUGAAGGCCUUAGGGUUGUAAAGCUCUUUUACCCGGGAUGAUAAUGACAGUACCGGGAGAAUAAGCUCCGGCUAACUCCGUG